This 234-nucleotide ribosomal RNA is filed under the name uncultured bacterium. RNAcentral describes it as "partial 16S ribosomal RNA". It matches the Rfam family "Bacterial small subunit ribosomal RNA", at positions 118 to 347 of the family's 1533-position model. The record is from RNAcentral.
UGAGCAAUCUGCCCUUCUCAUCGGAAUAAGCGUUGGAAACGACGUCUAAUGCCGAAUACGACCUCCUUUCGCAUGAUCGGAGGUGGAAAGCUCCGGCGGAGAAGGAUGAGCUCGCGGCCUAUCAGCUAGUUGGUGUGGGUAAUGGCCCACCAAGGCGACGACGGGUAGCCGGCCUGAGAGGGUGACCGGCCACACGUGGGACUGAGACACGGCCCAGACUCCGUACGGGAGCAG